RNAcentral lists this ribosomal RNA (253 nucleotides) under uncultured bacterium. RNAcentral describes it as "partial 16S ribosomal RNA". It matches the Rfam family "Bacterial small subunit ribosomal RNA", at positions 524 to 776 of the family's 1533-position model. The record is from RNAcentral.
UACGGAGGGUGCAAGCGUUAUCCGGAUUUACUGGGUUUAAAGGGUGCGUAGGCGGUUAGGUAAGUCCGUGGUGAAAUCCUGCAGCUUAACUGCAGAACUGCCGUGGAUACUAUCUAUCUUGAAUGUCGUGGAGGUUAGCGGAAUAUGUCAUGUAGCGGUGAAAUGCUUAGAUAUGACAUAGAACACCCAUUGCGAAGGCAGCUAACUACGCGAUAAUUGACGCUGAUGCACGAAAGCGUGGGGAUCAAACAGG